This 480-nucleotide ribosomal RNA is filed under the name uncultured bacterium. RNAcentral's name for it is "partial 16S ribosomal RNA". It matches the Rfam family "Bacterial small subunit ribosomal RNA", at positions 29 to 507 of the family's 1533-position model. The record is from RNAcentral.
AUGAACGCUGGCGGCGUGCUUCACCCAUGCAAGUCGCACGAAGCACUUUAUUUGAUUUCCUUCGGGACUGAUUAUUUUGUGACUGAGUGGCGGACGGGUGAGUAACGCGUGGGUAACCUGCCUUGUACAGGGGGAUAACAGUUGGAAACGGCUGCUAAUACCGCAUAAGCGCACGGCAUCGCAUGAUGCAGUGUGAAAAACUCCGGUGGUAUAAGAUGGACCCGCGUUGGAUUAGCUAGUUGGUGAGGUAACGGCCCACCAAGGCGACGAUCCAUAGCCCACCUGAGAGGGUGACCGGCCACAGUGGGACUGAGACACGGCCCAAACUCCUACGGGAGGCAGCAGUGGGGAAUAUUGCACAAUGGGCGAAAGCCUGAUGCAGCGACGCCGCGUGAGCGAAGAAGUAUUUCGGUAUGUAAAGCUCUAUCAGCAGGGAAGAUAAUGACGGUACCUGACUAAGAAGCACCGGCUAAAUACGUG